AAAGCCCGCCGGGCGAUCGCCGGCAGCCUCGUCUGCCGGAGGAAAGUCCGGACUCCGCAGAGCGGCGUAGCAGGUAACACCUGUCCACCGUGAGGUGAGGAUCAGAGCAACAGAGACGAGCCGAUUCAGUUCGGGUGAAACGGGCAAUCUCUACGCGGAGCAACACCAAGUAGGCGACCGACAACCUUGCUCGGGUAGGUCGCGGGUAGGUGGCUCGAGCCAGUCAGCGAUGGCGGGCCCAGAGGAAUGAUCGCCACACGGCGCAACCUGCGCCGUGCACAGAAUCCGGCUUAUAGGCGGGCUUUGCAC
This 309-nucleotide RNase P RNA is filed under the name Betaproteobacteria bacterium PRO7. Its description in RNAcentral is "RNase P RNA component class A". It matches the Rfam family "Bacterial RNase P class A". Rfam says of the family: Ribonuclease P (RNase P) is a ubiquitous endoribonuclease, found in archaea, bacteria and eukarya as well as chloroplasts and mitochondria. Lineage: Bacteria; Pseudomonadati; Pseudomonadota; Betaproteobacteria. The record is from RNAcentral.